This is a long non-coding RNA of Thunnus maccoyii (southern bluefin tuna), 502 nucleotides long. RefSeq lists it as uncharacterized. The transcript has 3 exons. The record is from RefSeq and is a predicted model, not a curated record. Lineage: Eukaryota; Metazoa; Chordata; Actinopteri; Scombriformes; Scombridae.
CUGGGAGGCAGAGGCAAAACACUAGGAAGACAAAAGGGAUAGGCUGGGAUUGUGACAUCAUGAUGCUUUUGUCAAAGACCCCUGGCCACUGCCAAUGAAGGUGGGCUGGACAUUGGGUUUGCACGGGUGCAUCAAAGACCCGAUGGUGACGGUGAUGCUGAUGAUGAUCAAGAGAGAGCUAUCGAGGAGAAUGCGGACUCCGGGGAACCACCUGGGAUAGCAUCCAAUCAACUGGCUGAGGAACCUGGCACAAGUACUCAAAAAGCAGAAUUACACCCUGCUACAGGAUCCACACAGCCAGAAUCAGCAGAAUCUGGUACUGUAGGUCAAAAGAUCUGUAAUAUUACUAGUAGGUGCUUUGCCUUGGUCAUUGGGGACCAUAUAACACAUGCUGUCGGGUAUUGACUACUUGUAUUAUAUUCUCAGAUUGCAAAUCAACAGUACAUACUGUAGUAUAAAUUCAUUAUAAAGGUUAUGAGUCUCUAUUUUUAUAUUGUUUACU